RNAcentral lists this ribosomal RNA (253 nucleotides) under uncultured bacterium. RNAcentral describes it as "partial 16S ribosomal RNA". It matches the Rfam family "Bacterial small subunit ribosomal RNA", at positions 524 to 776 of the family's 1533-position model. The record is from RNAcentral.
UACAGAGGGUGCGAGCGUUGUUCGGAAUUAUUGGGCGUAAAGGGCGCGUAGGCGGUGCGGUAAGUCACCUGUGAAAUCUCCUGGCUCAACUGGGAGCUUGCAGGCGAAACUGCCGUGCUGGAGUGUGGGAGAGGUGCGUGGAAUUCCUGGUGUAGCGGUGAAAUGCGUAGAUAUCAGGAGGAACACCUAUGGCGAAAGCGGCGCACUGGACCACAACUGACGCUGAGGCGCGAAAGCUAGGGGAGCAAACAGG